This 384-nucleotide ribosomal RNA is filed under the name uncultured bacterium. Its description in RNAcentral is "bacterial SSU rRNA". It matches the Rfam family "Bacterial small subunit ribosomal RNA", at positions 30 to 415 of the family's 1533-position model. The record is from RNAcentral.
AUUGAACGCUGGCGGCAUGCCUUACACAUGCAAGUCGAACGGCAGCACGGGAGCAAUCCUGGUGGCGAGUGGCGAACGGGUGAGUAAUAUAUCGGAACGUGCCCAGUCGUGGGGAUAACGUAGCGAAAGCUACGCUAAUACCGCAUACGAUCUAUGGAUGAAAGCGGGGGAUCGCAAGACCUCGCGCGAUUGGAGCGGCCGAUAUCAGAUUAGGUAGUUGGUGAGGUAAAGGCUCACCAAGCCGACGAUCUGUAGCUGGUCUGAGAGGACGACCAGCCACACUGGGACUGAGACACGGCCCAGACUCCUACGGGAGGCAGCAGUGGGGAAUUUUGGACAAUGGGCGCAAGCCUGAUCCAGCAAUGCCGCGUGCAGGAUGAAGGG